UACAGAGGUCCCAAGCGUUGUUCGGAUUCACUGGGCGUAAAGGGUGCGUAGGUGGCCAGGUAAGUUCGGUGUGAAAGCUCGGAGCUCAACUCCGAAAAGGCAUUGAAUACUAUCUGGCUGGAGGGUCGGAGGGGAGACUGGAAUUCUCGGUGUAGCAGUGAAAUGCGUAGAUAUCGAGAGGAACACCAGUGGCGAAGGCGAGUCUCUGGACGACACCUGACACUGAGGCACGAAAGCUAGGGGAGCAAACAGG
Molecule: ribosomal RNA, 253 nt
Filed under: uncultured bacterium
Lineage: Bacteria
Description: partial 16S ribosomal RNA
Rfam family: Bacterial small subunit ribosomal RNA
Source: RNAcentral